AUUGAACGCUGGCGGCAUGCCUUACACAUGCAAGUCGAACGGCAGCACGGGAGCAAUCCUGGUGGCGAGUGGCGAACGGGUGAAUAAUAUAUCGGAACGUGCCCAGUCGUGGGGGAUAACGUAGCGAAAGCUACGCUAAUACCGCAUACGAUCUACGGAUGAAAGCGGGGGAUCGCAAGACCUCGCGCGAUUGGAGCGGCCGAUAUCAGAUUAGGUAGUUGGUGAGGUAAAGGCUCACCAAGCCGACGAUCUGUAGCUGGUCUGAGAGGACGACCAGCCACACUGGGACUGAGACACGGCCCAGACUCCUACGGAGGCAGCAGUGGGAAUUUUGGACAAUGGGCGCAAGCCUGAUCCAGCAAUGCCGCGUGCAGGAUGAAGGCC
This 384-nucleotide ribosomal RNA is filed under the name uncultured bacterium. RNAcentral's name for it is "bacterial SSU rRNA". It matches the Rfam family "Bacterial small subunit ribosomal RNA", at positions 30 to 416 of the family's 1533-position model. The record is from RNAcentral.